UCAUCUUCUUUUCUCUCUCCUACCAAUAAUUGAUAGUAGAAUUCUGACGAUUGCUGUUGUGGAUCUGUAUCUCGGCCUCAGCUGCAGUAUCUUCGGCACCAAUCGAGCUAUUGGAGAUGGGUGUCCGUCAGAUAUAUGGAUAUGCGACAGAGAUGAAGGCCGCCGAACACACCCCAUCAUCAGUGGUUCUUGACUCCUCGACCUUGGACGAUCAUUUUAGAUCGUCCUCGACUGACC
This 237-nucleotide long non-coding RNA is filed under the name Elaeis guineensis (African oil palm). RNAcentral's name for it is "long non-coding RNA (EGUI_LNC000137)". The record is from RNAcentral. Lineage: Eukaryota; Viridiplantae; Streptophyta; Magnoliopsida; Arecales; Arecaceae.